UAUAUUAAUAAUACUUUUAAGAUAAAAAUUAAUAAAAAAAAUGUCAUACUUCUAUUAGUUAUAUAUACUAUUUUAUUAACGUGCGUUACUUCUAAAUUAUAACAAUAAUGUCUUUAAACUAAUAAAAUAUAAUAUAUAAAAAGAAAUUAAAUAAAAAAACUAAUGACCCAGUAUCUUCAAAAUAGAAUUAGGCAAUUAGGGGUAAAGUCUUUUACCAUUUCUCUUCUGCAUAAGUCGAUAGCACAACCCUAUGCUAUAACAGCUACCGACGACAACUGCAAUCCAGCAAUCUAUGACAACUAGGGAGAACAGCGACAACCUAGGUGACGGCGGCGACGACGGCUCCUUCCUCGGAUACAGGCAAGCCCUAAUCUGCUCGUGGUCCAGCCCAUCUCCGGCCUAAAGCUUCGGCGUCUUCGCGCCUAACUCUCACUCCGACCGUUCGAUCGCUGCCCUCCACCCAUCUCCGGCGUAAAGCUCUUCUCGCUGCCGUGUUCCUGCUUCUCUAUCUUCUUCACAGUGAUAGCCACAAGACUUUGGAUGAGAUGCUUUCUGAUGAAUAUUAUGAGCAAGAUGGGAAAGAGCAGAAUGAUUUAAUGCAUUAUAGAGGGUUUCCUCAUUCUUUGGGGUCUAAUUCUGAGCAACAACUAAAGCCAGCUGCAGGGAAUAAGAAUACUGCAAGAUCUUCUAGAGUCUUGAAUGGCAGUGAAAAUUUUGGCGAUGGAGAUGAAGAUGACAACAAUAAUGAUGAUGCUGAUUAUGAAGAGGAUGAAGAUGGAGGAACUUGAAGAGGAAGAUAGUGAUUGUAUUGAGAAAGUGCUGUGGCAUCAACCAAAGGGCGUGGCUGAAGAAGCUCUUAGGAGUAAAAGAUCAACUAAUCAUGUUCUACUUAGCUACUUGUUUGAUUCUGAGCCAAAUUGGAAUGAGAUGGAAUUCUUGAUAAAAUGGAAAGGCCAAUCCCAUUUACACUGUCAGUGGAAAUCAUUUUCUGAGCUUCAGAAUCUUAGUGGUUUUAAGAAGGUUUUGAAUUACACUAAAAAGGCAACGGACGAAGUCAGGUUCAGGAAGACAGUCACACGUGAGGAGAUUGAGGUUAAUGAUGUGAGCAAGGAGAUGGACUUGGACCUCAUCAAGCAAAAUAGUCAGGUGGAAAGGAUAAUUUCAGAUCGCAUUAGUAAAGACAGUUCUGGAGAUGUAAUUCCAGAGUACCUAGUCAAGUGGCAAGGGUUAUCUUAUGUUGAAGCGACAUGGCUUAUAGCUCUGGAGAACAGUACUACUCACACACCUUUAAGCUCAUCACAGUGUUCUUGCAUGAAGCAAGUCAUGCUAUUGCUUGCAAACUCACAUGUGGUCAUGUGGAGGGAAUCCAAGUCCAUGCAAAUGAGGGUGGCGUCACACAAACGCGUGGUGGUGUAUAUUGGUUGAUAUUACCUGCAGGAUGUAAUACACUUUUUUCCCUAGCAACUAUUUUUUCUAUGGUCCACGCCCUACUUUCAAGUUUGUUAAGUGGAAAUGAAACAUUGCAUGCUUUUCUUUGAUAGAAUAUUCAUCAAUGUAUUUCCUCUGUCUUUGCAUUCCUUAGUUCAAUUGAUUUUUUUUUUCAAUCUGAACAAAAAAAGCUUCACUUCAAUAGACCUUUUUUUUUUCUCAGUUCUUUAUGUAUUCAAGGUGUUUCUUACGUGCGUCAAUUAUACAUGUUGGCCUUGCACUUGGUUUCUGGCACUGAACUACCCUUAAGAAUUUCUUAUUACUGAUUAUUCUUUCAAAUUGCAUACACCAAGUUCAAUUGUAGUAAAACUGAAAAUGAGGUCUUUGUAAAUUCAGUAGAAUUUUUUAUUUCUUUUGAUAUUGGUUUUACAAUUCUUGUCAAUUAGCAUGAUGUGUUUCCAUGGCUUCAUGCUUUAUACGAAAUUUUACAUACUCAGAUCUUGGCUCAUCAUUCUGGUGAAUGACUUUGAUACUCGCAUCAACAAAUCUCCUCACUGCGAGAAUUGCUGCUGGUUGUUUAAUUGUUUGCUCUAUUUGUGGUGCUCUGUAUUGCUAAAAACGUAAGAUUGCUAUUUCAUAUAUUUCAGUGUUGAGAAAUGCAAACAUUAUUGCAUAUUGUCUUCAUCAGUUACUAUGAAGUGAGCACUUAUUAAUUUUUCCUUUUAAUCUUGUUCAUUAUAUAGUGGACACUCCGUGGACUUUGUAUCGAAGUCGCAGAAAGAGGAGGAUAUGGAGGAGAGAGGUAUGAGCAGCUGGAGUUUCAGAAGAAAGCUAGGCAAUGUUACAAGGGUCUCCAUGAUGCUUCUUGGAAGGUAAUUUUGUGUUUCGUUUGGUGACAAGUAAUAAAGCAUAAUGCAACUUUAAAAGUCAUCUUUUUUUUUUAAUAUUGAUUAAAGUAUGAUAAUAGAGAGAUGGGUUAUUUCAUGAACAGUCACAUAUGAGGUACUAAAACUACUAAUUUAUGUUAUUUCAUUUGCUCAUUAGUAAGGAUUGUCAAUAUUACCAGUCCCUUGCAUAAGUUCUUCAUUUGUUUAUAUAUUUAGGAGAAGUAAUUUAUAAGUCAUUAGCAAGUGCAUAUGAAUAUAUUUUGUUUGAAGUUACAAAUUGUAAUAUAUAAUUAUUCUCAAAAACACCUAAAAGGUUGGAGAAGCAAGGUUCUUUACAUUGAGGCUUGUCUUACAUAUUCCGCAUUUGCCUCGAUGAAUUUUUAAACCAACUUAUGAUUCUUACUCUAUAAACAGAGCAUUGCACUUUAGCUUUAAUUUUUAUUGUUAACAGUCAACUUAUGGUCAUAUAAAAUGUUGUGUUACAUGUAAUUACCUUCUUUUUCAGUUUUGAGUUUCUUUAAUCGGUGAUUGUCCAGAGUUUUGAGUUUUCAAUAGAUGAUAAAGACGCCAAAAUGUCAUAUAACAGAGCAGAUAGAUUAUAUAGAUCAUCUUAUGUUAAACGAGUAUAGUAUGAAAUAUAUGAAUUUCUAGCCUUGGUAGUGGUGCAUUGCUAACUCUGUUAGGAGUUCUUUCAUCUGCAUAUAAUGAUUGAAUAUUAAUGAUUUUGUUGAAUAUGUGUUUCUUUGAAUGUGGUGUUUUAUUACUUGUGGUAUUUGUGAGAGUUUCAAGAUUUUAGAAAAAUACAACAAGAAAGGCGUAAUCAUUUAUAAUACCCUCGUAGGACUUCACGCCAUAGCUAUACUGA
Molecule: RNA transcript, 3180 nt
Organism: Humulus lupulus (European hop)
Lineage: Eukaryota; Viridiplantae; Streptophyta; Magnoliopsida; Rosales; Cannabaceae
Gene name: protein CHROMATIN REMODELING 5-like
Exons: 9
Source: RefSeq, a predicted model, not a curated record